RNAcentral lists this transfer RNA (74 nucleotides) under Microcaldota archaeon. Its description in RNAcentral is "tRNA-Arg". It matches the Rfam family "tRNA". Rfam says of the family: Transfer RNA (tRNA) molecules are approximately 80 nucleotides in length. Their secondary structure includes four short double-helical elements and three loops (D, anti-codon, and T loops). The record is from RNAcentral. Lineage: Archaea; Nanobdellati; Microcaldota.
GCCCUCAUAGUCUAGCUUGGAUAGGACGCAAGCUUGCGGAGCUUGGAACCGGGGUUCAAAUCCCCGUGAGGGCG